AGGGUUUCUGUGGAAGGAACCCGGAAGCAGCUCAGUUUGGGUCGAUCCAGCAGAACAGCGCCGUCUUCACACAGCAAGCAACGCAUCGCUGAGCUCCGUCGGACAGCCGCUGUAGGUCAAGAUGUGCACAGAAGAGAAUCUUAUUGAUAUCUUGGAUGACCUGCCAGAUGACAAUUUCAACACCUUCGUUUGGCAUCUGAAGAAGGAAACCUGGAAUGGGAUCCAACCGAUCAAAAGCAGCCGGCUGCAGAAGGCGGACAGGAUGGACGUCGUGGACCUGAUGGUGCAGACGUACCAAAUGGAUGGAGCUGACAAGUCAUGAUGAAUAUGUUGAAGAAGAUCAACAGGAAUGACCUGGUGAAGAAGCUGGCAGAUCUGUGUCCUGCAGCUGCAGCUGCAGCUGCAGCUCAAGGUGCGUCUUCAAGCUCCCAGGCCGACCCGGUUGAGGUUCUGCUUUCGGUGAGAACAAAGCUUGUAGGAAAAUCUCCAAGCAGGUUCUGCAGCAGAUUCUGGACAAACUGCUGGAGAACAAGAUCAUGAACGACUGUGAGCUCGAGUUCGAUGUUCAGACCCAGGGGGAAAAAGUCCGGGCCGUGGUCGACAUGGUCCGUAAAAAGGGCCCCAAGGCCAGCUCGGCUUUCAUCGCCGCGCUGUGUGAGCUGGAUCCGUGUCUGGCAGAAGAUCUGAAGCUCAAGUAGAAGACAGCAGAGCCAGCCGGUUCCAGAGACCCAGACCCUCUGACCCAAACCUCUGAUAGUUAGAGUCUUUCAUCAGCUCCAGUAAGUUACAGAAACAUGUUUGAUCCUCUGGUUCGCAGAAACCAACAGGAAGUCCAAUCAGAACCACAUGAUGUCCUGAAACACACUGAAAAGGAAAGUUUCACAUUAAAUCACCAGAAACAUCUGAUGGUACCAGAACAUCUGAUGGUACCAGAAACAUCUGAUGGUACCAGAAACAUCUGAUGGUACCAUGCACAGAAACAGACGGACCCUUGAUCUGCCUCCAGUGCAGCUGGAUGAGAUCUGAUUGGAUGAAAUUCACCUGAAGACACUUCCUGAUUGGUUUGUCUCACUAGGACCAUUUCAUAUGAAACCAAACAUAAAACUUAAAAUAAAAAAUGUUUUUGCUGAACACAAUGUCAUCGAUGAGUUAACAGUCUGAUGAUGAAGAAGCCCGCCGGUUCUGUUGAUCCCGCCGGUUCUGUUGAUCCCGCCGGUUCUGUUGAUCCCGCCGGUUCUGUUGAUCCCGCCGGUUCUGUUGAUCCCGCCGGUUCUGUUGAUCCCGCGGGUCCGACAGGUCCAGCAUGCGAGUGUUCUGUCAUUGUCUCUGUAACUGCAGCUGAUCACUGAUUCUAAUAAAACAUUUGGACUCGGA
Molecule: long non-coding RNA, 1374 nt
Organism: Poeciliopsis prolifica (blackstripe livebearer)
Lineage: Eukaryota; Metazoa; Chordata; Actinopteri; Cyprinodontiformes; Poeciliidae
Exons: 3
Source: RefSeq, a predicted model, not a curated record